UACGUAGGGAGCAAGCGUUGUCCGGCAUUCCUGGGCGUAAAGCGUGCGCAGGCGGUUUGCUAAGACAGGUGUGAAAUCCCCGGGCUUAACCUGGGAACUGCGCUUGUUACUGGCAAGCUGGAGUGUGGCAGAGGGGGGUGGAAUUCCACGUGUAGCAGUGAAAUGCGUAGAGAUGUGGAGGAACACCGAUGGCGAAGGCAGCCCCCUGGGCUAACACUGACGCUCAUGCACGAAAGCGUGGGGAGCAAACAGG
RNAcentral lists this ribosomal RNA (253 nucleotides) under uncultured bacterium. RNAcentral describes it as "partial 16S ribosomal RNA". It matches the Rfam family "Bacterial small subunit ribosomal RNA", at positions 524 to 776 of the family's 1533-position model. The record is from RNAcentral.